CACGUAGGGCGCGAGCGUUGUCCGGAAUUAUUGGGCGUAAAGAGCUCGUAGGCGGCCUGUUGCGUCCGCUGUGAAAGCCCGGGGCUUAACCCCGGGCGUGCAGUGGAUACGGGCAGGCUGGAGGCAGGCAGGGGAGAACGGAAUUCCCGGUGUAGCGGUGAAAUGCGCAGAUAUCGGGAGGAACACCGGUGGCGAAGGCGGUUCUCUGGGCCUGUACUGACGCUGAGGAGCGAAAGCGUGGGGAGCGAACAGG
RNAcentral lists this ribosomal RNA (253 nucleotides) under uncultured bacterium. RNAcentral's name for it is "partial 16S ribosomal RNA". It matches the Rfam family "Bacterial small subunit ribosomal RNA", at positions 524 to 776 of the family's 1533-position model. The record is from RNAcentral.